Molecule: ribosomal RNA, 406 nt
Filed under: uncultured bacterium
Lineage: Bacteria
Description: partial 16S ribosomal RNA
Rfam family: Bacterial small subunit ribosomal RNA
Source: RNAcentral
GACGAACGCUGGCGGCGUGCCUAAUACAUGCAAGUAGAACGAGUUGCGAACGGGUGAGUAACGCGUGGUAACCUGCCUCAUAGCGGGGGAUAACUACUGGAAACGGUAGCUAAUACCGCAUACCAUCAGAUGUGCCCAGAUGGGAUUUGGUAGUAGGUGGGGUAACGGCUCACCUAGGCGACGAUCCCUAGCUGGUCUGAGAGGAGGACCAGCCACACUGGAACUGAGACACGGUCCAGACUCCUACGGGAGGCAGCAGUGGGGAAUAUUGCACAAUGGGCGCAAGCCUGAUGCAGCCAUGCCGCGUGUGUGAAGAAGGCCGUCGGGUUGUAAAGCACUUUCAGCGGGGAGGCGUUACCCGCAGAAGAAGCACCGGCUAACUCCGUGCCAGCAGCCGCGGUAAUAC